This 94-nucleotide small nucleolar RNA is filed under the name Balaenoptera musculus (blue whale). The record is from RNAcentral. Lineage: Eukaryota; Metazoa; Chordata; Mammalia; Artiodactyla; Balaenopteridae.
GGACCCCCGUGAUGUCCAGCACUGGGCUCUGAUCUCUGUUGAGGACACAGUGCCCCCCGGGACCUUUGACACCCGGGGGUCUGAGUGGGGGAUC